This 89-nucleotide transfer RNA is filed under the name Delftia tsuruhatensis. RNAcentral describes it as "tRNA-Ser(gga)". The record is from RNAcentral. Lineage: Bacteria; Pseudomonadati; Pseudomonadota; Betaproteobacteria; Burkholderiales; Comamonadaceae.
GCCGCGCUGGAGCAGGUCUUCGGCAAUGCCGCGCUGGAGCCGCGGCUGCAGGCGCAGACCGCCCAGCAGAUCCUGUCCACGGUGCUGCU